This is a long non-coding RNA of Esox lucius (northern pike), 424 nucleotides long. The record is from Ensembl. NCBI's taxonomy places the organism in Eukaryota, Metazoa, Chordata, Actinopteri, Esociformes, Esocidae.
CGACAAACCGUCAGUUCCUCCCUUGUCCUACUACAGCACACACUACAAAAAAAGCGAAAGAAGGCUUAGACCAACUCUCUGUAGCUAGCUACCAGAAACCCUAAGCUAACAUUAGCAAGGCUAAGAAGAACGUCGUCGAACUCUUGAGUUAGUGCUUUUUUGGAACAGGGCCCCUGUCAGUCACAGGCUGUUGGAAUCGUCCUAACCUUUCCAGCCCAUACGGCGCCCCUGGACACAGGAAAACACAACCUGAGCCACCGGGAUGCAGCCCCAGAAUGCGUUGUUGACCUGGGGGAUGCUGUUGCCUGGGUAAAUGCCAACACGGGCCUCUUCUGAGACAAGUCCUCACCCCUGAGUGAUGAGGAAAUACAGGGUGCUGUGCAGAUGCUCAGAGAGGCCUCAACUCUAGAGGAAGAACAAGAAG